GGCAUCAUAGUUGAAUAACAACAUUAAAUUGCAGAUUUAAAAGAGUACUCUGAUACUGAUGCCU
This 64-nucleotide transfer RNA is filed under the name Metaphire tosaensis. RNAcentral's name for it is "tRNA-Cys". The record is from RNAcentral. Lineage: Eukaryota; Metazoa; Annelida; Clitellata; Crassiclitellata; Megascolecidae.